UGUGGUGUUCGGGAGGGUCCGUUAUCCCGAGGUCACGCGGCGCGUCCAAGUCCUUCUUGAACGGGGCCACAGCCCAUAGAGGGUGCCAGGCCCGUAGCGACCGCCGCUGAUCGCGGGAGGAUCUCUCCUUAGAGUCGGGUUGCUUGAGAGUGCAGCCCUAAGUGGGUGGUAAACUCCAUCUAAGGCUAAAUAUGACCACGAGACCGAUAGCGAACAAGUACCGUGAGGGAAAGUUGAAAAGCACUUUGAAGAGAGAGUUCAAGAGUACGUGAAACCGUUUAGGGGUAAACCUGAGAAACCCGAAAGGUCGAAGGAAGAAAUUCAUUCGCGUUUCGACGCAGGCGUCGGGCGUUCGCGCGACGGGAAUCGCGUUCGCGCGUUUCCCGCGCCUUUCGUCCUUCGAACCGGCGGCGAACGCGUGCACUUUUCUUCUGGUAGGACGUCGCGAUCCGUUGGGUGUCGGUCUACGGCUCGCGGUGGAGCCCGUUCGUGCCACGUGCGCGAGCGGACCCGCGUGUCCCGGCUGACUCGCUCGACGGUACACGAAAGAUUAAAGGCCGCUCCUCGGAGCGUUCGACUCGCGGCAAGCGCGCCAGUUGCGUCGGCGAUCGGACCCAGUGCCGAUUCUGACCUCUGGUGACUGUUGGCCGCGAUCGUCUCGGACAGACCUUUGGAUCGAUCGGCGACGCUAUAGCUUUGGGUACUUUCAGGACCCGUCUUGAAACACGGACCAAGGAGUCUAGCAUGUGCGCGAGUCAUUGGGAAUCACUAAACCUAAAGGCGCAAUGAAAGUAAAGGUCUUCCUCGCGGAGACUGAGGGAGGACGGGCGGUUUACCCUUAAAAGUGGCCGCUCAGCACUCCCGGGGCGUCUCGUUCUCAUUGCGAGAAGAGGCGCACCAUGAGCGUACACGCUGGGACCCGAAAGAUGGUG
Molecule: ribosomal RNA, 932 nt
Filed under: Phrydiuchus speiseri
Lineage: Eukaryota; Metazoa; Arthropoda; Insecta; Coleoptera; Curculionidae
Description: eukaryotic LSU rRNA
Rfam family: Eukaryotic large subunit ribosomal RNA
Source: RNAcentral